GUCUCUCCCUUUGUUCUCUUGCCUUUUAUCUGCCGAGUUCUCUCCGCAGAGAUCCCUGCCCUUGCCCUGCCGCUUUUCCCUUCUUUUCUAAGCUUGCCCUUGCCCACCCCUGCUUCUGCAGGAAAACAACCAGCCACUCGCAUUCAGCGAUGCCCUCGCUAUUUACUGAUGUCAGUUCCCCCACUCAGAAUUCAUUUCCCUUUUGUUUGCCUUAGCUAGGGAGGUCCGUGAAAUUCGCAACAGUUUAUCCCUCAAUGAGAGCAGGGAAGAGAGAAGCCCCGCAUCCCGCACGUGGCGGGUCACCCACCCAUCCGUCCACCCAUCCGUCCAUCCAUCUAUCCAUCCAUCCGUCCAUCCAUCCAUCCAUCCAUCCAUCCAUCCGUGGCGCGGCGUGCCCGCAGCGCUCCCUCGGCUGAAGGCGGGAUGUGCUCCGGGCUGUGCGCGCUGAGUCACCGGCCGGGCUCAGCGCACCGGCCCCAGCGCAGCACAAGCGAUGCUGACAGCUCCCGUGCACAGCUAGCCUGAUCAAAGGCCAGCCUGUGUCUCCGGGGCAGCAGGAGGGCGAGAAGGGGCUGGGGCCCGGGGCAGCCCCAGCGCUCUUCCGGCUCACUCAGCCAGAACUGCCCCCGCAGUCCCUGCACGGGAGGGCCCCCAGCCCUGCUGUGGGUACACGGAGCUGCCUUGGCACAUAUGCCAGUCCUGCGGCGUGUGGGUGUGGUGCCUUCAGGAGCAGCCCCGGGAUGGGCCGGAGCGGGACAAGAUGAGGCAGGCAGGGAAAGAGAUGCUCCUGCCCGUGCUGUGCACAGCAGGUAUCCCAGCUGGGACACAUUUGCUUGCUGGAGUAGUCUGCAAAAUAAAUUGCUAUAGGCAUGAAUAUUUAAAUUUCCUUCCAAUGGGUAUCGAGCCAAAUUCCACAUCUCAGUUCCAGGGCGAAUCGGGAUGAUCAGACACGCUGCUUCACAGAACAGAAACACAGAGAUGCUCCCAGCAAAGAAACAGAAACCAAAGCAGAAAAAUGAGGCGUCUGCAGAAAUGCUUUGUUGGUGGACUGCUGAUGGGCACUGCUGGUUCUGCAGGGGCUCCCGUUCCUGUCGGGAUCUGCCUUUGCUGCCGUCUGCAGCCUCCUGGAGCUGCCUCUCCAGCAAGAAGCACACAGUGAUCACUGGCAGUGGUCCCUGGGGAUAUUACUGCACGAUGGGAAAAGCAGCUACAGCAGCGGCUGGGCGUGAUGCUGAAGAAGUCAUCUUCCUACUGUGUCCUUAAUACAAAUACUUUAUGGAAAAUGAAUCAGUCCUCUUUGGGCUUUUUUCCAGAGGCCCCUCUGACUAAUUUUGUCCAAAACAGCCGGGCUGACCCUGCACAGCAGUAUGACGGUGGCAGACAGGACCUGCUCACGUUUGGGUGGAGGCAGGGAAAAACUGUUUUGCAGGCCUGCCCAAAAAAAUCCUCAGGCUGACUCUGCCAAAAACCACACCAAACAUAUGGUAAAUGAAAUCGCUGGCAGGGAGCUGGCUUGGACGGCAGGAGUGUUUCAGCACUGUGGACUGCUUGUUAGCUGGCCUGAAUUGUAUUUAUGCUGCUUUAAGCAGCUCCAUAUUUAAGGAAAAGAAGGCAAAGGAGAAGGCACUGCCAAAUUUUUGGGUGUGCUUUUGAUGCCUCCCCAUGCACAUUAUUUUCUUGACAAUGUCAGUAUGGUCACAGUGCUUGUCCCAUCCUGUGGUUAAGAGCACAACAGCACCACAGAAGAUUUCACCUCCUCAUAUGGCAACAGUCUCCUGUGGAAAAGCAGACAGAAGGGCUUUUCUCUCUUGGAACAGGGACACUGCCUAUUUCACCAUAUGAAUGUCGUGUACAUUUCAUGGAGCUGAUGAAAUCAUGUACAGAUGGGAUCCAUCUUAACAAAGGCUCUUAUUCACAGGGCAGGUUUCUCUGUGGCGUUUCUUGGGCUGUAUCCCAGCUUGCAUAGCCAUAUCAACCAAAUGCAUCCACAGAGCCAGGCAAAUUUCUGAGAGGAUACCAGACACAGAGAUGCUGUGCCCCUGCUGCUGUGAACAGCUUGACUGACUUUGCAGCAGUUUGGCCCCUCUGGGAAUCUGAGCCUUGGAGUCAUGGCAAUAAACACGCUUUUCCUCACA
Long non-coding RNA from Junco hyemalis (dark-eyed junco), 2135 nucleotides. The record is from Ensembl. NCBI's taxonomy places the organism in Eukaryota, Metazoa, Chordata, Aves, Passeriformes, Passerellidae.